AUUGGUGGCCAUCCCACAACUUGUGCCUUCGAAGCAGGAGCAACUCCAUGGCCAUUAACUGCAGGAACUUGAUUCUUCUUCUCCUGCGCGACCGGUUUCGGUGACUGGGGCAACCCGUCUAUGUUAACCGUAACCGAAUCCGACCCAGUAAUCACUUUGCCAGCAUUAGCAGCUAUGGGAGAAAAAUCAGGCUCAGAUCCAGCACUGCCUGAGAAAACCCAGUUGACAGAGCCACCGUGAAUGGCAACAGAAAAGCCCCUUUUGGCACCUGACACGAAGCUCUUAUUAUUAUUGUUGCAGCUGUUGCUGUUGUUGCUGUUGUUAGGUGCACCAAUACUAAGUUGCGAGUUCCCA
Molecule: unclassified non-coding RNA, 354 nt
Filed under: Hevea brasiliensis (rubber tree)
Lineage: Eukaryota; Viridiplantae; Streptophyta; Magnoliopsida; Malpighiales; Euphorbiaceae
Source: RNAcentral